This 380-nucleotide ribosomal RNA is filed under the name uncultured eukaryote. RNAcentral describes it as "partial 18S ribosomal RNA". It matches the Rfam family "Eukaryotic small subunit ribosomal RNA", at positions 592 to 976 of the family's 1831-position model. The record is from RNAcentral.
CAAUAGCGUAUAUUAAAGUUGUUGCGGUUAAAAAGCUCGUAGUUGGAUUUCUGCCGAGGACGACCGGUCCGCCCUCCGGGUGAGCAUCUGGCUCGGCCUAGGCAUCUUCUUGGGGAGCGUAUCUGCACUUCAUUGUGUGGUGCGGUAUCCAAGACUUUUACUUUGAGGAAAUUAGAGUGUUUCAAGCAGGCCCACGCCUUGAAUACAUUAGCAUGGAAUAAUAAGGUAGGACCUCGGUUCUAUUUUGUUGGUUUCUAGAAUUGAGGUAAUGAUUAAUAGGGACAGUUGGGGGUAUUCAUAUUUGUGCGUCAGAGGUGAAAUUCUUGGAUCGCAGAAAGAUGAGCUAAGGCGAAAGCAUUUACCAAGGAUGUUUNCAUUAA